AUUGAACGCUGGCGGCAGGCUUAACACAUGCAAGUCGAGCGGGGGGAGGUAGCUUGCUACCGGACCUAGCGGCGGACGGGGGAGUAAUGCUUAGGAAUCUGCCUAUUAGUGGGGGACAACAUCUCGAAAGGGAUGCUAAUACCGCAUACGUCCUACGGGAGAAAGCAGGGGAUCUUCGGACCUUGCGCUAAUAGAUGAGCCUAAGUCGGAUUAGCUAGUUGGGGGGGUAAAGGCCUACCAAGGCGACGAUCUGUAGCGGGUCUGAGAGGAUGAUCCGCAACACUGGGACUGAGACACGGCCCAGACUCCUACGGGAGGCAGCAGUGGGGAAUAUUGGACAAUGGGGGGAACCCUGAUCCAGCCAUGCCGCGUGUGUGAAGAAGGCCUUAUGGUUGUAAAGCACUUUAAGCGAGGAGGAGGCUACUUUAGUUAAUACCUAGAGAUAGUGGACGUUACUCGCAGAAUAAGCACCGGCUAACUCUGUGCCAGCAGCCGCGGUAA
RNAcentral lists this ribosomal RNA (501 nucleotides) under uncultured bacterium. RNAcentral's name for it is "partial 16S ribosomal RNA". It matches the Rfam family "Bacterial small subunit ribosomal RNA", at positions 30 to 523 of the family's 1533-position model. The record is from RNAcentral.